This 466-nucleotide ribosomal RNA is filed under the name unidentified nematode Sourhope farm. RNAcentral describes it as "SSU rRNA". It matches the Rfam family "Eukaryotic small subunit ribosomal RNA", at positions 58 to 520 of the family's 1831-position model. Lineage: Eukaryota; Metazoa; Nematoda. The record is from RNAcentral.
UCUUAGUAUAACCUGCCAGACAGGGAAACUGCGUACGGCUCAUUACACCAGCCUUAAUUUACUUGACCUUGACAACCUACUUGGAUACCUGUGGUAAUUCUAGAGCUAAUACAUGCACCAAAGCUCCGAUCCUCGCGGAGAGGAGCGCAUUUGUUCGCCACAAAACCAAGCCCCCAUCUGGGCGUCCAGUGCUGAACCAGAACAACUCAGCUGAUCGCACGGUCUUGUACCGGCGACGUGUCUUUCAAGUGUCUGCCUUAUCAACUUUCCAUGGUAGUGUACCUGACUACCAUGGUUGUGACGGGUAACGGAGGAUAAGGGUUCGACUCCGGAGAAGGGGCCUGAGAAAUGGCCACUACGUCUAAGGAUGGCAGCAGGCGCGCAAAUUACCCACUCUCAACGCGAGGAGGUACUGACGAGAAAUAACGAGACCGUUCUCAUACGAGGCCGGUUAUUGGAAUGGGUA